CUCUGUCAAGGAUAGUAAAGAAAAGCCCGUAAAGGAGUAUGGCCUUUUAUUGAAUAGCCUGGUAGUAC
RNAcentral lists this small RNA (68 nucleotides) under Flavobacterium sp. 11. RNAcentral describes it as "Flavo-1 RNA". The record is from RNAcentral. Lineage: Bacteria; Pseudomonadati; Bacteroidota; Flavobacteriia; Flavobacteriales; Flavobacteriaceae.